Molecule: unclassified non-coding RNA, 366 nt
Filed under: uncultured bacterium
Lineage: Bacteria
Description: contains 16S-23S intergenic spacer region
Source: RNAcentral
UCCCCGUUACCGGGGCAGUCUUGCAAGACAAAUCUAACUUGCAACGAGGGUUGCGCUCGUUAAGGGACUUAACCCUACAUCUCACGACACGAGCUGACGACGGCCAUGCAUCACCUGUCAUUCCAGCCUCUUGCGAGGUACAUCCGCCUUUCAGCGGACUCAGGAAGAUGUCAAGCCUUGGUAAGGUUCUGCGCGUGCCAUCGAAUUAAACCGCACGCUCCACCGCUUGUGCGGGUCCCCGUCAAUUCCUUUGAGUUUUAAGCUUGCGCUCGUACUCCCCAGGCGGGAUGCUUAACGCGUUAGCUUCGCUACCGAACGGGUCGAUACGUCCAACAGCUAGCAUCCAUCGUUUACGGCGUGGACUAC